RNAcentral lists this ribosomal RNA (253 nucleotides) under uncultured prokaryote. RNAcentral's name for it is "partial 16S ribosomal RNA". It matches the Rfam family "Bacterial small subunit ribosomal RNA", at positions 524 to 777 of the family's 1533-position model. The record is from RNAcentral.
CACGUAGGGGCGAGCGUUGUCCGGAAUUACUGGGCGUAAAGGGCGCGCAGGCUGUUAUGCGAGUCUGCUGUGAAAUGUACCGGCUCAACCGGUGCCUUGCGGCGGAUACUGCAUAGCUGGAGUACUGGAGAGGGAAGUGGAAUUCCCGGUGUAGCGGUGAAAUGCGCAGAUAUCGGGAGGAACACCAAUGGCGAAGGCAGGUCUCUGGGCAGUUACUGACGCUGAGGAGCGAAAGCAUGGGUAGCGAACAGGA